RNAcentral lists this long non-coding RNA (810 nucleotides) under Takifugu rubripes (torafugu). RNAcentral's name for it is "lncRNA (ENSTRUG00000027171.1)". The record is from RNAcentral. Lineage: Eukaryota; Metazoa; Chordata; Actinopteri; Tetraodontiformes; Tetraodontidae.
AUGUAUUUAUUGCGCGGCGGACGUCAGAUCCGUGCAGACUGUGACGUACUCCUCUCGUGCAUAGCAUUAUGCUGUCGUGGCCUCUACGUCAUCACGCUGCCAGCUGAUCGGAGUGGAAAGCCGGGUAGGAAGAGAGGGAGGGAGAGAGAGAGAGAGAAAAGGAGAGAGAGAGAAAAAGAGUUGUGUAAAAAGGGGCUGAAGUCCUGCGCUGCGUCCUCCUCCUCCUCUUCUGCUCCUCCACUGCUGCGUUGGAAAAAGUGCCCUCUCCACGGCACCUUCGCACGUCUCUCUGGCUGUUUAAAUAUCGCGGAUGAAAAGCAAACAGAAAGACUUGACUGCGACACACCCUUGCUGAAGGUCCAGGACGAGGUCUGGCGAGCGGUGGGCGAGGCAGCCCGAACUCCGCGCUGCGCUCGCUGGCUGACCGCGCAGGAGCGACCCGGCCGGCGGUCAAGAAGUGAAGCCAUCUUGCUCAACUUGGGUUACACCCAUCAUUCCUCUUGCGUGUCUUGUCAAAGGAGGAUGGGGCAAGAGGAGAUGUGGCGCGAAGGUUCGUUUGAGGGGGGGAAAAAAAAUCCAGUCCUUUCAAACAAAAUGGCACAGAGUGCCUGAGGGACAGGCUUACAGGGCCUCGUGCAGCACAUCUCCCAGGAUGUCAGGAAUCCAGGAAGGCUCAGCUCCGGGUGAAACGUGGCGGAACCCCCUCCUCAUUUGCCGUGAGGGUCAGACCGUGUUCAAAGUCCAGCAAAUGGGGAGCAGCGGCGCAUAAGAAGUGGCUCUCUGCACUGUGAUGAGUGUGUUGCCAAAGCC